GAUGAACGCUGGCGGCGUGCUUAACACAUGCAAGUCGAACGAAGCACUUUAUUUGAUUUCCUUCGGGACUGAUUAUUUUGUGACUGAGUGGCGGACGGGUGAGUAACGUGUGGGUAACCUGCCUUGUACAGGGGGAUAACAAUUGGAAACGGCUGCUAAUACCGCAUAAGCGCACAGCAUCGCAUGAUGCAGUGGGAAAAACUCUGGCGGUAUAGGAUGGACCCGCGUUGGAUUAGCUAGUCGGUGAGGUAACGGCACACCAAGGCGACGAUCCAUAGCCGACAUGGGAGGGUGACCGGCCACAUUGGGACUGAGACACUGCCCCAACUCCUACGCGAGGCAGCAGUGUGGAAUAUUGCACAAUGGGCGAAGGCCUGAUGCAGUGACGCCGCGUAAGCGAAGCAUUAUUUCGGUAUGUAAAGCUCUAUCAGCAGGGAAGAUAGUGACGGUACCUGACAAAGAAGCACCGGCUAAAUACGUG
RNAcentral lists this ribosomal RNA (481 nucleotides) under uncultured bacterium. Its description in RNAcentral is "partial 16S ribosomal RNA". It matches the Rfam family "Bacterial small subunit ribosomal RNA", at positions 28 to 507 of the family's 1533-position model. The record is from RNAcentral.